Molecule: transfer RNA, 75 nt
Filed under: Zooshikella ganghwensis
Lineage: Bacteria; Pseudomonadati; Pseudomonadota; Gammaproteobacteria; Oceanospirillales; Zooshikellaceae
Description: tRNA-Met
Rfam family: tRNA
About the family: Transfer RNA (tRNA) molecules are approximately 80 nucleotides in length. Their secondary structure includes four short double-helical elements and three loops (D, anti-codon, and T loops).
Source: RNAcentral
UCUGAGGUAGCUCAGUGGUAGAGCACCAGGCUCAUAACCUGGAGGGCGCUGGUUCAAAUCCAGCCCUCAGACCCC